CAUAAAGAAUUGAAAGGUUAUUAGAACCAUCUUUAAAUAUUUGUGAAGUACUAAGGACUAAUGAUUCGUUUAUGAAGAAUCUAACUUAAAACCUAUGGAAUAUUGAUUCUAAUUUCUUGUCAGAUUGAAAUGACAAAGUUAUGUCAGGUUAUAUUUUUAUCCUAUAAAGAAGAGAGACAUGCUGGAAAGAUUCCAUGCAAUAGUAAGUAGCCA
This 213-nucleotide long non-coding RNA is filed under the name Elaeis guineensis (African oil palm). Its description in RNAcentral is "long non-coding RNA (EGUI_LNC063379)". Lineage: Eukaryota; Viridiplantae; Streptophyta; Magnoliopsida; Arecales; Arecaceae. The record is from RNAcentral.